This 312-nucleotide non-coding RNA is filed under the name Thalassospira alkalitolerans. RNAcentral's name for it is "bacterial SSU rRNA". It matches the Rfam family "Bacterial small subunit ribosomal RNA", at positions 31 to 361 of the family's 1533-position model. The record is from RNAcentral. Lineage: Bacteria; Pseudomonadati; Pseudomonadota; Alphaproteobacteria; Rhodospirillales; Thalassospiraceae.
GAACGCUGGCGGCAGGCCUAACACAUGCAAGUCGUACGAGAAGGUUCCUUCGGGAACUGGAGAGUGGCGCACGGGUGAGUAACGCGUGGGGACCUACCUUUUAGUGGGGGAUAACGGUUGGAAACGACCGCUAAUACCGCAUACGCCCUUCGGGGGAAAGAUUUAUCGCUAAGAGAUGGACCCGCGUUGGAUUAGAUAGUUGGUGAGGUAACGGCUCACCAAGUCUUCGAUCCAUAGCUGGUUUGAGAGGAUGAUCAGCCACACUGGGACUGAGACACGGCCCAGACUCCUACGGGAGGCAGCAGUGGGGAA